CCUGCCCUUAUAGGCAUGGCUGCUGUGUCACAUGUGCCUCAGUAGAUGACAGAGACGAGAGAGGCUACGUCUAUGCUCAGUGUUUUGAUCUAUGAACAUCUGAAUGGUUAGUAGCCUAACGUU
RNAcentral lists this small nucleolar RNA (123 nucleotides) under Meriones unguiculatus (Mongolian gerbil). RNAcentral's name for it is "Small nucleolar RNA SNORA17 (ENSMUGG00000024382.1)". It matches the Rfam family "Small nucleolar RNA SNORA17". From Rfam's summary of the family: snoRNA ACA 17 belongs to the H/ACA family of snoRNAs and is predicted to guide pseudouridylation of the 28S rRNA at positions U4659 and U4598. It shares the same host gene together with ACA43. Lineage: Eukaryota; Metazoa; Chordata; Mammalia; Rodentia; Muridae. The record is from RNAcentral.